UACGGAGGGGGCUAGCGUUGUUCGGAUUUACUGGGCGUAAAGGGCGCGUAGGCGGUCAGCACAAGUCAGUUGUGAAAUCUCCGGGCUUAACUCGGAAAGGUCAACUGAUACUGUGCGACUAGAGUGCGGAAGGGGCAACUGGAAUUCUCGGUGUAGCGGUGAAAUGCGUAGAUAUCGAGAGGAACACCUGCGGCGAAGGCGGGUUGCUGGGCCGACACUGACGCUGAUGCGCGAAAGCCAGGGGAGCGAACGGG
RNAcentral lists this ribosomal RNA (254 nucleotides) under uncultured bacterium. Its description in RNAcentral is "partial 16S ribosomal RNA". It matches the Rfam family "Bacterial small subunit ribosomal RNA", at positions 524 to 776 of the family's 1533-position model. The record is from RNAcentral.